RNAcentral lists this ribosomal RNA (469 nucleotides) under uncultured bacterium. RNAcentral describes it as "partial 16S ribosomal RNA". It matches the Rfam family "Bacterial small subunit ribosomal RNA", at positions 28 to 507 of the family's 1533-position model. The record is from RNAcentral.
GAUGAACGCUGGCGGCGUGCUUAACACAUGCAAGUCGAACGGUGAACACGGAGCUUGCUCUGUGGGAUCAGUGGCGAACGGGUGAGUAACACGUGAGCAACCUGCCCCUGACUCUGGGAUAAGCGCUGGAAACGGCGUCUAAUACUGGAUAUGUGACGUGACCGCCUGGUCUGCGUUUGGAAAGAUUUUUCGGUUGGGGAUGGGCUCGCGGCCUAUCAGCUUGUUGGUGAGGUAAUGGCUCACCAAGGCGUCGACGGAUAGCCGGCCUGAGAGGGUGACCGGCCACACUGGGAUGGAGACACGGCCCAGACUCCUACGGGAGGCAGCAGUGGGGAAUAUUGCACAAUGGGCGAAAGCGUGAUGCAGCAACGCCGCGUGAGGGAUGAAGGCCUUCGGGUUGUAAACCUUUUUUAGCAGGGAAGAAGCGAAAGUGACGGUACCUGCAGAAAAGGCGCCGGCUAACUACGUG